GGGAGACAAAAAACCAAAACCAAAACCAACGAAACAAAACAAAACACCACCCCCAAACCCAGCCAGAGCAUAGAAUGAGGGCAGACUGAAUCAGAGAGAGGGCCACUUUUCUCCUCUUGAAGGUGAGGGACCUUGCACUGUCGUCUGAGGAAAACCUGGACUGCUCUUCCCUCCUCAGAUGACCCCGGGAUGAGGAAGGAAGAGCAAGCCCACAGUAAGGCGGCCAUCACUCCCACGUGUGCUUGCGGGGCAACCUGGCGCAAAGGGUUAAAGCCGUAUCAUGGACUUGUAAGCUUCGCUGUCCUGUAGACGUGACCUCACUCUUCCGUUCGCCUCUAGGAGACACAGCAUACUUUUCAAAGGGUAUUUGACUGCAUUGGUUGAGAGGGAUAGAGAAGCAGGGCCCAGCAGAGAAUGACCAGCAUCAGUUUAUUGACGUCUAAGAACUAUUAACCUUUUGCAGAGAAGGGAAAAACCCCUCCGUGUAUCUAGGGCCUCCUGGGUGCUAAUUUGACAUGGCAAUGAGAUAAAAGUUGGGCUCGGGCUGCUAUCAACCUCAGCGGAUCGGAAUGCCGUCUACUUAGCAUAGGAGUCAAACGAUUCCCUGGCAAUAGAUUGCUUUCCGCUUGUAGGUCUACUAAAUAAAUAGAAAAGUAAUUAACAGUGCACUAUGGCAGAUGUAUCAGGGGGAAUUUCAUUAGAGCAGAAGAACUGAGCCAUCUCGUAUCCCACCGUCCGAGGAAGCUUCCCUGCCGUCUCUAGGAUGGAUGUGUGAUUUCUGCUUCUCUUCAAAAAAUGGAAAUUUCUAAAUCUCCUAUGCUCUCUUCACACUGAUCAAUGGGAAAAGAAAAAGAAGCCUGUUAAGUGCCUGAAAUCAGUCCACAAAUAAAG
Long non-coding RNA from Zalophus californianus (California sea lion), 891 nucleotides. RefSeq lists it as uncharacterized. The transcript is spliced from 3 exons. The record is from RefSeq and is a predicted model, not a curated record. NCBI's taxonomy places the organism in Eukaryota, Metazoa, Chordata, Mammalia, Carnivora, Otariidae.